UAAGGGUGGCGACACCUUCAAAAUGGAGUUCCAGAUUGUCAAUGUGGAAAAGCCAAAACUCACUGGAGAACACAGUAGUUUUUGCUUGCUUUGAAGGGAAUGACUCCCUUGCAAACUUGCAGAACACCCUCCCCCCAUUUUGGACCAAGUUGCAGCACUGUCAACAACAAAGUGGCGAAAUCACUCAAUCCGUUUGCUCUGCUAUGGAGACUACGAGCUGUUGACAAAACUAUACGGCAUCAAUGGUUGCAAUGCAAGACACUGCUGUGUAUAUUGUACGGC
Molecule: long non-coding RNA, 282 nt
Organism: Patiria miniata (bat star)
Lineage: Eukaryota; Metazoa; Echinodermata; Asteroidea; Valvatida; Asterinidae
Exons: 3
Source: RefSeq, a predicted model, not a curated record